Molecule: long non-coding RNA, 1611 nt
Filed under: Equus caballus (horse)
Lineage: Eukaryota; Metazoa; Chordata; Mammalia; Perissodactyla; Equidae
Description: lncRNA (ENSECAG00000045273.1)
Source: RNAcentral
ACCAAUUAAGAGUACAAGUGGAGGACUCUAGUGGGAAGAGUUAAGAAGUGACAGCGUGCAAGAUUACUAUUUCUACUGUUUCUUUUUAUAGGUGAGGGAAAAAGGAUAGGGAAGUGGAAACAGGGAAUGCUGAAGUACUGGAUCCAAUGAUCCAAUCAACCACAUUUGCACUAGAAUGUCAGAUUCCUGAGGGCAAAACCCAAGGCUCCCUUGGUCACUCUAUUAUCCAUGGAGCUUGGAGUGAUGUCUUGGCAAGAGGCAGAUGGAAGACCAGAAUGAGUACUCUCUUGGGGAAGCAGAUCUGAGAAGGAGCUGAUCAAGGCAUGUCAUUUUCUUCUCUGAAAUUCAUCAAACAACAAAAUACAUCACUUCAUGACCAUGGCAAGGAAUUAGUGAAGAAUAAACAAAGCCAUCCAUUCUGUGCUGUUGAGUGUCCUCCUGCUUUGGUGCUUCCCCACUGAGACGUCACAGACCAGUGGGACGGCCACCAGGAAUUUAGACAUCAACCAGGACGGAUGAUGCUUUGAAAGUGCUAACAAAGGCAUGAGAAAUGUGAGAAUUUCAACAAAUCGUCAAGAGGAAUGAAAGUGAUAUCGUGACUGAGAAAAGUUUGACCUCAUCAAAUUUCAUCUGUGGCCAUCUUCUAUCCUUAAAUGUGUGCGACCAGUGACAUUUCAGCAAAGCAGGCUUUAUGCAAAAUAUACUGCCUACAUAAUACUUCUUCCAGAAACAGGAAUCAAAUAAACGUUUUAGCCCUAGGGAUUAGGAACGGAUGGCUUUUAGUUUUAUUUCUUCUCCAAGGGAAAUGUAUUAAAGUAUGUAAAAAGUAAAAUAGUAAAGUAUUUAAAAUAUUUUAAAUUACUCAAGACACAGGAUGCAAGUCAGAAAAAAAAUCAUUCUCAAAAUGCAUUGUCCUUAAAAGUUGCCUAAUGUGUGGUUAGUAUAAGAAAACACUGCUCAGUUUUCAACUCUCAUGAGAUUCCAGAAGAUAUUAUUGGGAAUUCUGAGCCACAUUAAUAUUUUCAAAAGUAAAUAAAAAUUGAACAAUGACUUGCUUUAUGAUUUAUUGAUGUAAUAAAGCUAUCAGAGAGAAAUUCCUUUGUUCCAAAACCAAAUAUGUGUAUUUCUCUACCAAUAUUUUCCUUCCAUUCUGGACAUAACCUCAUUUUUUCUUACCUUACAAAUAUUUUUCUCAGUUAUUUAUCUCUCUACUCUAUUAUUAAUUUCUCCUUCUAUAUGGCCACCUCUGUCCUUCACAUUUCUUUCUGGCAAAUUCCUCUAGUUCCUCCUGUCUCCUGGACUCUGCAAUCCAAUCUAACUUAAGCCUUCACCAUUCCACUGAAACUGCUCUCCUCAGAUGCCCUUGGCCAGUGGGAUGGAUUUAUGUACUUCCUGUAUGCUAAUUCCAGACACAAAUAUCCAACUGCUUACCUGAGACCAACAAGUCAAUGUUAAAUAAGUAGCCCCAGCUUAAGAUGUUAGAAAGAAUCCUUUUGAAACACACACACACACACACCCUUUCAAUGUAUUACGUCCUUGAGAUGGGUUAAAAACAAAUGAGUGGAGCCAGAAGUAGAAUUUCAACAAUUUCCUUUGGUGAUAAUGCCAGGC